Molecule: non-coding RNA, 72 nt
Organism: Castor canadensis (American beaver)
Lineage: Eukaryota; Metazoa; Chordata; Mammalia; Rodentia; Castoridae
Source: the annotation of a RefSeq genome assembly
GGGGGCAUGGCUCAGCGGUAGAGUGCCUGCCUAGCAAGCACGAAGCCCUGAGUUCAAACCCCAGUGCCACCA